Molecule: ribosomal RNA, 354 nt
Filed under: uncultured soil bacterium
Lineage: Bacteria
Description: bacterial SSU rRNA
Rfam family: Bacterial small subunit ribosomal RNA
Source: RNAcentral
CAGCCGCGGUAAUACGUAGGGCGCAAGCGUUGUCCGGAAUUAUUGGGCGUUAAGAGCUCGUAGGCGGCUUGUCGCGUCGAUUGUGAAAGCCCGGGGCUUAACUCCGGGUCUGCAGUCGAUACGGGCAGGCUAGAGUGUGGUAGGGGAGAUCGGAAUUCCUGGUGUAGCGGUGAAAUGCGCAGAUAUCAGGAGGAACACCGGCGGCGAAGGCGGAUCUCUGGGCCAUUACUGACGCUGAGGAGCGAAAGCGUGGGGAGCGAACAGGAUUAGAUACCCUGGUAGUCCACGCCGUAAACGGUGGGCACUAGGUGUGGGCGACAUUCCACGUCGUCGGUGCCGCAGCUAACGCAUUAA